ACUUCCAGAAUUGGGGAGAAAGUGG
RNAcentral lists this non-coding RNA (25 nucleotides) under Cricetulus griseus (Chinese hamster). Lineage: Eukaryota; Metazoa; Chordata; Mammalia; Rodentia; Cricetidae. The record is from RNAcentral.